AUAAGGAGGGAGUACUACUAACCCAUGUAAGCCGACCAAGUCCAGUCACUGACAUAAUCAUUUUAUGUGGGCUUUCUCAUUUGGUCCUUAUUGAAGUAUUAAAAUCAUCUGAUCUUACAGAGAAGGAACCAAGGUGUAAAGGAGAGAAAUUAAAUAACUUGCUGAAGAUCAUUGCUAAGAACAGAGCAAGGACUCAAAGCCGAAUCUGCCUUACCCAGAGCCCACACCCCCAACCACUAGACCAGCUCCUGCAGUUUCAAUUUACAGUGACCAAUCAUCCCAGUUUGCCAGAGACUGAGGGAUUUCAAGGACAAGAAACAGUCGGUGGUGAAACCAGGACACUCCUGAGCCAACCACGACAAACCAGAAGAUAGAAUACUUGUGGUGCUAGUUUUCAUGCAUCUUGCUGGUCCUGUUGACACACGCGAUGAAGUCUUACAGAACAGUAACAGCUAGCCUUAAUUAGGCGCCUGCUCCUGGCCAGACACUGCUCUACGCAUGUGACACGUAUCAAUUCCUUUCAUCUUCACAACAAACCUAUGAGAAAACUCUCUCAGGUGGUAGAGACAAUUUGGUCCUGGAUCUAAGAAUUCAUCUCAUGGAUACCAACAAGCAAGAAAUGAAGGACAGAGCUUUUGGGGUCUGGAGCUGCCAUAGGCACGCAGGCAUUUCUGGGCUAACUACGGUCACUAUGGGAACACCCCCUACAGGGGCUCACGAAGGCCAGGUCAGAGGAGCAUAUCCAACAGGCGUUAAGGAAAAUUAAUGAUCACCCAAUGCAGAAGGGCAUGGAGGAAGCCAUCUCCUGCAGCUGAAACAAGGUGGAGAUCUGGCAUGGCCUAGAAGGUAGUAACUGGCCUCACAAUGCCUACCGAUGGAUUAGAUAAGAUCUCCAGACUCUGACCGUGAGUAUUUCUUUCCAGAGACACCGGCCCUCAGUACAUGAUCAAUGCCACAUUCAUCAGCUGCUCUGAGGACAGCUCUUCUUCCUCUUGCUGUGAGAAGUAUCUCUACUGUAGCAUCAUCCAACUCCUGCCCCCCACCCCGCCCAAUCAGAGAGAACACUCAGCUGGACCCCACCCACAUAAGAGAUACCAUCCCCUCUGAGACAUGCUCAACCCUAGGAACUGGAAAGGGAAACUGAAUACUUCCUUGCAUAGACAAGAAGUUUCCUAGCAGCACAGACAAGCCCAGGAACCAAGCUGCACUGACAUUAAAAUGCUCCAAUGUGACCGGAUUCAGUUUCACCAUCCCCCAGAUCUGUGCACUUGCCUGAUGCUGGGCUGAACGGACCUAACAAAGUCUGUGCUGCUCCCACAGCUGUGGAUCCAGAUUAUCACUACUGACGUCAGUGUCUGGCCCCUCGUGUCACCGAUGAGCAUAUCAUGCCCCUCCGGCCUGCCAUCCGCGACUUUAGUGCUGCUGAGGUGUGACCUGCUAACAAGGUGUGAUAUGGUCAGCUGGCUACUCCUAGGCUUAAGCAAACUACAUGUACAAGCCUGCCCUUGGAGCAGGCUUUGACCAAGAGGGGAGAGGAGCUAGUGAAUAAAACCCUGCCGCCUCCUCCCCGUGGAAAAUGGCUAUAAAAUGUAGUUACCAUCAUGGAUUUGCCCUCAUGUCCCAGAAGAUCAGACAAGCAACCAUACUUGCUAGCAAACAGUAGCCAGAUCCAUAAUACAUCCUUCAUAAUUAUGCUCCCUCCUUCUCUGUCUCACUCCUUUUCCCCACUUCUUCUCUGGUGUUGCUUUCAUGAGCUAAGUGACAGCAUAUAAGCUUUUGCCUCUGGAGACAGCCACCAUAAGCAACAGCUCCCGAGUCCCGGCAGGGCUCUGGACACGGCAGCUUGAGCCGUCCGGCGUGGGCCGGGGAGCCCAGGGCCAAGAGCUCCACCCCAGCCUCUGCGAACUGGUCAGAGGCUCAGAGGGCAGCGCGAGCCGGGGAAGGGACGGCAGGGCUAGGGCCAGCACCGUCAAGGCCACAGGAGGCGGACUGCCGCCACAGGAGCCCUGGGGUUCACGGCUUCACGGCCAGUUCAUCCUGGCACUGAGGGACGCGAGCAGCAGAGCACCACCCAAGGGGCAGGGGCAACGGAGAAAAUCCCUUGGAGUCCUGGGAGGACAUCUGCCCAGGGCAACCAGAGGCGGCCCAGCUGGAGGGAGAACAGGAACUGGAGAAAAAGCCGAGCUCACAGCUUCAGUUCGAGUGUCAAGACAAACAGGAAAAAAGUGACAAACACUGGGUAUAAAAGACGUGAUGGUAUGGGGGUCAGUACUGAGGCACAUUUAUUACAAAAACCAGGGAGGCCUGCCUUCUCUCCGGGUGGGCAGAGUACCAGACCAAUCCUGGGGUCUAAGGGCAUUAGGCAGGAGUAACCCCCACCAGGUCGGCAUCCACUGAGGGAUCCAAAUGCAGGGCUAGGCCGGCAUACAAAUAGGUGACAGCCCUCCACAGCUUAGACGUGCCUCCAGCGUCCUUUCUCUGUGUUGCUUUCUCACAGCCAUUUAUGUUCCAGUAAAUAAAG
Long non-coding RNA from Zalophus californianus (California sea lion), 2521 nucleotides. RefSeq lists it as uncharacterized. NCBI's taxonomy places the organism in Eukaryota, Metazoa, Chordata, Mammalia, Carnivora, Otariidae. The transcript has 5 exons. The record is from RefSeq and is a predicted model, not a curated record.